RNAcentral lists this ribosomal RNA (773 nucleotides) under uncultured bacterium. RNAcentral's name for it is "bacterial SSU rRNA". It matches the Rfam family "Bacterial small subunit ribosomal RNA", at positions 8 to 798 of the family's 1533-position model. The record is from RNAcentral.
AGAGUUUGAUCCUGGCUCAGGACGAAUGCUGGCGGCGUGCUUAACACAUGCAAGUCGAACGGAAAGGCCCUUCGGGGUACUCGAGUGGCGAACGGGUGAGUAACACGUGGGUGAUCUGCCCUGCACUUUGGGAUAAGCCUGGGAAACUGGGUCUAAUACCGAAUAGGACCGCGCUCUUCAUGGGGUGUGGUGGAAAGCUUUUGCGGUGUGGGAUGGGCCCGCGGCCUAUCAGCUUGUUGGUGGGGUAAUGGCCUACCAAGGCGACGACGGGUAGCCGGCCUGAGAGGGUGACCGGCCACACUGGGACUGAGAUACGGCCCAGACUCCUACGGGAGGCAGCAGUGGGGAAUAUUGCACAAUGGGCGCAAGCCUGAUGCAGCGACGCCGCGUGAGGGAUGACGGCCUUCGGGUUGUAAACCUCUUUCAAUAGGGACGAAGCGCAAGUGACGGUACCUAUAGAAGAAGGACCGGCCAACUACGUGCCAGCAGCCGCGGUAAUACGUAGGGUCCGAGCGUUGUCCGGAAUUACUGGGCGUAAAGAGCUCGUAGGUGGUUUGUCGCGUUGUUCGUGAAAACUCACAGCUUAACUGUGGGCGUGCGGGCGAUACGGGCAGACUAGAGUACUGCAGGGGAGACUGGAAUUCCUGGUGUAGCGGUGGAAUGCGCAGAUAUCAGGAGGAACACCGGUGGCGAAGGCGGGUCUCUGGGCAGUAACUGACGCUGAGGAGCGAAAGCGUGGGGAGCGAACAGGAUUAGAUACCCUGGUAGUCCAA